UACACCUGAAGCUGUACUGCUCUGGGUGUACUAAUCCCAGCCUGCCUGGAGAUUAUCUUUUCCUUCAUCUGCUCAACAAGGAAGAGGAACGAGCUGAGUCACUGCACAAACUCGUUGGCAGAGCCUGAGCCCAGCCCAGCCCACCCCCAGCACCGACCGUGGAGUGCCCCACCUUUGUGUCCCAAGCUCCUGCCAAGCCUGGGGCACUCCCUGGCACUGCUGAGAGGGCUCUUGCUGCUGGGCAUUGUCCUAUCACACCAGCUCAUCCCACAAUGCCUCUGAGGAAGGAGUAGUGCAGAAUUUCCUUGAUGAUACGUGUUGUAAUGAAGGCUUAUCUCAUCUGUGACUUCUUUGACAGAACAACACAGGAGCAAUGAAACCUCCUCCCGACUUUCCUGGAGAUGAAGUCACAGCCAUGCUGUACAGGUCCUGGCAUCCCUUUCUCAUGGCUGCAGAGCAGAAGGGCACAGACCCAGGAGGUCAGAGAGGAGGAGACAGGAUGUCUACACGUGCACCUCGUGCCAUGCCCAGUGUGAACUGGCUGCUCUUGUUCAACCACUCUGCCCAAGGACCUCUUCACCCAGGACACACUGUGAGGAAUAUAGAGUUACUAAUAAGCUGCUUCCUCCGGCCUGUGUUGAAAACCCUGAAGGAGUUCUGUUCAUCUGCACAGCCUGGAUUUGAAGAUCAAGGUUUUUACUCAGCCCUGGAAGAUGCAGCCAUCUUCAGAAGGCCUUGAUCUUGCUGCUGCACUUGUGUGGCAGGUGGGAUGACCUCUUGCUCUCUGUGGCUGCCUGUGAAGUCCAAGGGUCUGUUUUAGCAUUUACUUCUCUCCACUUUCCUUGCCUGUUCCUGGGUCACAACAUGAAGAGGUAAAGCAACUCCUGCUGAUCUCCCCACCAUCAGAACUGUGCUGCUGCACUGCCACCAUCCAUGCAGGGAGGGGGCAUUUUCCCUCCUCUCCCCAGGACAAGGAGGUUCCAGGGACACAUUUGUGCCUCUCCAGUCCUUUGUGCUCUCUGCCCCAGCUCUUCACCUGUAGGAAGUUCAUAGCUGUCGUGGGUUGAGGUGGCUGGGUUUUUUGGUGGGGGAGGGGCACAGAGAGUGGCUUUGGUUAGAAGCUGCU
Molecule: long non-coding RNA, 1126 nt
Organism: Neopelma chrysocephalum (saffron-crested tyrant-manakin)
Lineage: Eukaryota; Metazoa; Chordata; Aves; Passeriformes; Pipridae
Exons: 3
Source: RefSeq, a predicted model, not a curated record